GGAAGGAAUAAAGCAGAAGAAGGAUGAAGAAGGAAGAGAAGGAAGAAAAAAAUGAUACUUUCCAUAUGAUAAAAGGGAAAAUGUGUAACUGUCAAUAGAAAGUAUGUAAACUCAGAGGGAAGGAUUUUUCUAACUUAUAAGGUGUAAUAGAAAAUGCUACAAGAAUUGUUUAUCACAACAAAUUUCCAACCCUUGAAGCAUCAAGCAUGCUAUUCUAAGAAUAAACACGUCAAUCAUUUGAAAAAUAUAAGUAUUAAUAUUCAUAACUCCAAAUAUGAAGAUAUAAAAAGAUUAAUGUAAAUAUUUUUAGAUGAAAAAUGAGCAUUGUUGCUAUGGUCUAAAUAAGAAUAUUGUUCUGUGCAGACUGUAAUUUAAAUUAAAUCCCAUGAACUUUAUUUUUGUAAGUAAACAGAAUAACUGGAGAAAUGGAAAGUCAUUCAAAGAAGAGUGUCACUGAAAUGUGCUCCCCCAAAAUUCAACUGUUGAAGCCUUAAUUACUAAUAUCACUGUAUUUGGAAACAGGAUCCCUAGGACAUAAAUUCAAAUGAGAUCAUAAGAGUAGGACCCUAAUCUGAUGGGACUAUGGCUUUAUAAAGAGGAAAAGAGGAUAACAGCAAGAAAGUGACCAUGUGCAAGCCAGGGAAAGAGGCCUCACCAGAACCGAACUCCACCAGAAUCUUAAUUCUGGACUUUUCUGCCUCCAGAAUUAUGAGAAAAAGAACUUAAGCCACCAAGUCUAUAGCAUUUUGAAUGGCAGUCAAUUCAGACUAAUACAAAAAGAAAACUGAAUUCAGUUCAAAAAAUAUUUAUGAACUUACAGCAUGCAAGACAUUUUAUGAAAUGCUAAGACACUGAACAUAUAUUAUUCUUCAUUAAAUAAGUAGAAACAUAUAAUUGUGCCUUCUCUUACCAAAUAAAAUAACGGUUGAGAUAAUAGGAACCUAUAUAAACAUAUAUGUAUUUAAGCCCAUAAACGUGUAUAAAUACCUAAAGAUUACAGGCAUGUGUGCAAAUUUGUGCAUGUUUGUGUGUGUAGAAACGGUGUAUUUAUGUGAGAGAGAGAUUGGAUCUCGUGAGGCUGAUGCAAAUACACAUUAAAAAAUACAUCAUCAUUUUAUUAAUACCUCUGGUUAGCAAGAACAUGAUAAUGUUUCAGUAAACAGUAGAUUAAUAGCAAUUGACCUGUCUUCCUGUUUUCCACAGUGAUGCUUCAUAAAGUUCGGGCCUUUUUAAACUGGAGUCCGUAAGUAAGAAGAAUUCAGAUGCAAAAUAUCAGCGCUCCUUAGCAAGAAAAGCACCAGUACCUGAAAGAAUUUGUCCCAUCUUUUGCCUGAUAUUUGCUAACAUGGCAUCCUUAGAGAAAACCAGCCAUUCCUGACACAGUUGGCAAAUUCUUCUGAAGCAAACUUCUGGAUGCCACUCUGAUAAGGUGUUUUCAACUGCAGAUGACAUGAGAGCCUUAUGGAACUGCAAACACAUUUAUUGUUUUUUCUCUUUGGAGAGUCAUGCAUUCCUCAAUACUGCUGUGAAAAUAGGAAUCACUCACACUUCUAAAGCUAUUUCCCACUGUUAAAAAUUAAUUAGAAGAAUAACAUCUCCAACCCAGGUAUUAUCAUCUCCAGUUUAAAAUUGAGGAGGAUGAAGUUCAGUGAUUGUACAUUUCUCAUGUGUUGUGAAAAGCUAUGAGAUGAAACACUUAAAACUUACAUUCUAAUGGAAUUAUAUACAAAAAAUAAAAAGGGUAGCCAAGUAGAGUUGCCAGCGAAGCAGAGAAGAUAUGAGUCUGAAGAUCUGGAAAAAGGUCCAGGCGCAAGACAGGCCUCUCAAGACCCUUACCUGGGAAAUAUUGCAGAAAAAUUGAGUAUUCUAAAAUCAUUUUCUUAGUUUUUGUGAGUGAAGACUCCCAGCAUGGUCUCACAAGGUGACAAUCAUCUCAAGGUAUGACUGAGGAUGUAUCUGCUUCCAAGCUCACCUACAUACUUAUUGGCGGGAUAAUCUCAUACGCUGAGAAAUGCUAUAAUUCAUCAUGUGAACAUACUCUAUGCUAUUUUACAUGGGAAUUGGAGAGUAAAAAAGUCCAUCAAAGAAGUCAGUAGCAAUCUUCUGUAAGGAUAAUUGUAACACUUUAAAACUGCACAAAUUUAUGUGCAGAUGGCAAAAUGGAAAUUUUGUUAGCACUUUCUGAAGAAAGAGUUAAGGAAGAACAAUCUACAUUGUUAAUUUUGGUAUUUAAAUAACAAAAUUCCAAGGAAAGAGCAUUUGCACUGGGAAUAUAAAGAAAAUAAUAAAAGGCCUAUUAUAGAUCUAAAGUCAGCAUCACUUGGAAACUGAUUGAUUGGAUCAAAAUAAGGGACUGCAUGGAGAAUCAGAUUCCAGCUCAGGGAUCCCCGCUAAGGCCCCAGACUUACCAGAGCAGCCACUCUACAUUGUCAACUCAUAAUCAGAUGACCCAGGGAGGAACUGCUCAGAUGACAACACUGGUUACUGAGGCAGCUACUGCUUAUGAGUCUCCGCUCUGAGACACAGAGAGAGAGAGGAGGAGACAUAGGCAGAGGGAGAAGCAGGCUCCUCGCAGGGACCCCGAUGUGGGACUGACUGGAUGCUGGGAUCAGGCCCUGAGCCGAAGGCAGACAGUUGACCACUGAGCCACCUAGGCGUCCCAAUCUUUCUGGAUAUUAUGUGGAGAAUGAGUCUUAUGGUGGCCAAAUUGCAAGUACAGAGAUAAGUUAUGAAAUUCUGACAAUAAUUUGAACAUCUAAUGAUAUUGAAAAUGCCAACUUACAGUAUAGCAAAAACACUGUAAAAUAUUCAAAUUCUUUGAACAUCAAUUCUACUUUCUAUAAAUAUAUGCUAAAUAUAUAAUUAUUAUUGUGCUAUGAGGAACUUUAGAUAUCACUAUAGUUGUAUUUAAAAUAAUGAAUUCUUUAACAAUUUAAAUAUCUAAAAUAGACCUUCAAAUACAUUGCUAUCUAAUAAUGUUUCACACUAAAACUAUGCUUUAAAAUUAUAUAUCAAGACAUAAUGUGUUGUUUACAAUAUCUAAAGACAAACAACUUGUAUGCUUCUAGUUAAAUAUGAUUAAUGCCACCUGUACUUGUACUUAUUUUCUUCCCACCAAAUCCCCCUUAAAAGACAAAAAAGGAAUAAACUAAGAUAUUAACCAAUGAUGUAAGAAGAGUUAGUGAGUUUGAUUACCAGCAAUAAGUUGACAUAAAUAACAAAACACAUUUGCAAGAUUGGGAUAUGCGUGGGUAGACUGAUACCUAAACAUAUGUGAAGACUUGCAAAAAGUUACAUUAAUUAAGUGGUUAAUAUUGGAAUCGAUAGAAGUUGCUCCAAACAUUUAAGGAAACAGUAAGUUAUGGAACUAACACUUCAAUGAACAAGAAAAGUCAGUAGUUUUGUGGCAGUUGGUUAUUCAGCUAGAAAGAAAUGUGAGUUCUUAGUUCACAUUUGACACAAAUAUGCCUUACAGGGACACCUGGGUGGCUCAGCGGUUGAGCAUCUGCCUUUGGCUCAGGUCAUGAUCCUGGGGUCCUGGGAUCGAGUCCUCACAUUGGGCUCCCUGCAGGGAUCCUGCUUCUCCUUCUGCC
Molecule: long non-coding RNA, 3593 nt
Organism: Canis lupus familiaris (dog)
Lineage: Eukaryota; Metazoa; Chordata; Mammalia; Carnivora; Canidae
Exons: 12
Source: RefSeq, a predicted model, not a curated record